Molecule: ribosomal RNA, 305 nt
Filed under: uncultured bacterium
Lineage: Bacteria
Description: partial 16S ribosomal RNA
Rfam family: Bacterial small subunit ribosomal RNA
Source: RNAcentral
ACAGCAGCAGCCGCGGUAAUACGAAGGGUGCAAGCGUUAAUCGGAAUUACUGGGCGUAAAGCGUGCGUAGGCGGUUUGUUAAGUCUGCUGUGAAAUCCCCGGGCUCAACCUGGGAAUGGCAGUGGAUACUGGCAAGCUAGAGUGUGUCAGAGGAUGGUGGAAUUCCCGGUGUAGCGGUGAAAUGCGUAGAGAUCGGGAGGAACAUCAGUGGCGAAGGCGGCCAUCUGGGACAACACUGACGCUGAGGCACGAAAGCGUGGGGAGCAAACAGGAUUAGAUACCCGUGUAGUCCCUGUCUCUUAUAC